UUUUUUUUUUUUUAGAAUUUUUUAUUAUAGUCAAUUUACAGUGUUCUGUCAAUUUCUGCUGUACAGCAAAGUGACCUAGUCUUUUUCUCACAUUAUCCUCCAUCUUGUUCCAUCACAAGUGAGCAUGUAUCUUUUUCAAUGAAGGUUUUGUCUGGAUAUAUGCCUAGGAGUGGGAUUGCUGGGUCAUAUGGUAGUUCUAUAGUUUUCUGAGGUAUUUCCAGGCACUGGUGUUUGCCAGCGGGGAGAGGGAAGGAGUGGGAUGGAUUGGGAGUCUGGGGUUAGUAGGUGCAAACUGUUGCCUUUGGAGUGGAUGGGCCAUGGGAUCCUGCUGUAUAGCAUAGGGAACUGUAUCCAAUCACUUGUGAUGGAUCAGGAUGGAGGAUAAUGUGAGAAAAAGAAUGUGUAUAUAUGUAUAAUUGGGUCACUUUGCUGUAUAGCAGAAAUUGGCAGGACCUUGUAAAAAAAACUAUAAUAAAUUUUUUAAAAAGCAAGGGAAUUUACACGGGAGGCUUGCUUUGGGUGAUGCAAGACGCUAGAUUUCUGUACCUGCCCUGCCCGCCAGGAUCUUAAAAGUUUAUGUAGAGGCCUUAACUAGGCUCAGUCACCAUCCAGGUGGUCUCAGUACCAUCUUACUCUCUCAAGGCUGUGUCUUUGGACAGCUUUUUGGAGUGAGGAAGGCCAACAAAUGCCCAUUCUAAGGACAGAGGAAGGAGUGAGCCACCUCUGAGUACCCAGGUCCAGUUUGCAGGUCAAACCCAAGGCCACGUCCUCUCAAUGACCAACACUCCUGCUGUCGUGAGAGUGACUGGCUCUGACAAUCUCACAUACUCUCCCCCCUUCCCCAGUAGGGUGGGUUUCUUUUUUUCUUUCUUUUUAAAAUAAGUGUUAUUGAAGUAUAGUUAAUUUACAAGGCUGUGAUAAUUUCUGCUCUACAGCAAAGUGACCCAGUCAUACAUAUACACAUAUCCAUUCUUUCUCAGAUUCUUUUCCCACAUAAAUGACCACAGAAUAGUGGGUAGAGUCCUCUGUGCUCUAUAGCAGGUCCCCACUGGCCAGUCAUUCUGUAUGCCUCAGUGGGCAUAUGCCAGUCCCAGGCCCCCAGGAAGGGAUUUCAAGUGGCUCAGUUUGGGCAGCUAUCUGGCCUACAUUGGAAGCAGAUGCCAUGGCAACAGUACAGCCACAUGCAAGAAAAAGCACAGGUUAAGACAUUUACUCUCCAAAUCAGUGGGAGCUUUUUUUUUUUUCCAUGGUUCCCCUGAUCAGAACCACUGAUGCACACCCCCUAGGCUGGGGGUUGGACACUCAGGACAUGCACUUCUGUCCGCUGUGAUUUAAUAAAGACAACAUGUUAGGAGACAGAAGACCCACCAGGCAUGAACUCACCACAGUCUGUCUGGCUACCGGCACAGGUGCCUCCCGGCGAGGCAGUGAUGGAGUCCAAGGCCAUCCUGUGUCAGAGAACAGCUUUUCUGCGCAGAGACGGGUCAGUGUUCAGCAAGGACAGGCUUUGGGGGCCCCCAUUCAAGGCUUGCUGGGUGAACUUGGGGAGGGCCAGUAAGUGUCCGCCAGGCUGAGAGAGGAGACAAAGACAGUGGCCAAAUGAUGGUACCGGGGGGAACCGGAAUGUGUCCCGUGGCCUCGAGGAGCAAGGAGGCUGCUGCUUUAGGCACCUGACUUGGCUGUGCUCCCCAUACAUCUGGGUGAGGCAGCACUAUCGGGUGUGAGGAGAUGGACUGGGGGCAGGAUGAGCCCGACCAGGACCCCACCUUCUCCCCUCAAGGGUGCAUGUUCAUUCCUGUUAGAGUGUGUUUCUACAGGCCCAGCUCGCAGGGGACACAGGGGCCCAGUGGAGGCUGAGUAGUUCCCUCCCCCAGGGGUGCCAAGUAAGCACCCGUCCGGGUGGGACAUCCCAUUGCAAAUCCCGUAGGUGAUGCUCUUCCAGGAGGGAUGGGGCUCGAUGUUUCUCUGCAGCACAGCACAUUGAUCCAUGGUGUAAUCCGGGAAAUUGCUUCCCACCAUCUCCAUACCUUUACGGGAUCAGGUGCCUCGGCAGGGAUCUCCCAUCUGGCAUAUGGGGCAGCAGGCCCUACUGGUUGAUCAUUCCAAUGUAUUAAGACCUGUGACAGUCCUUUAGUCCAUGGGGCCAAGCUGGUUUUACCUGUUAGUCACUUAAUCUGCUGCUUUAACGUCCCAUUUUUCCUUCCUACCUGAUCUCGGGGAGACAGCAGUGAGUGAUGGCUUGAAGCGAGAUCUUCACUCUGUGCUCAGGAAUUGAAUCUGGGCAGCCUGGGUCAAAACCAGGAAUCCUAGCCACUACACCAGCUAGAGGUUAAAAGCAGAAUUUGCCCUGAUUCCUGCCCGCGCCCCCCUGCCCGGCCCUGUGGAAAACAAGAAUGUUGCAAAGGAGGCAAAGACUGUGAAAGCAGGUAUAACGUUUGUUGUUAGAAACAGGACAAUGUGUGGGAGAGCACACAGCUGUUAAUCUAAGGCAGAAGCAGAGCAGUAUACACACCCAAGGGAGUGUGGCUGUGGGUGUUCCCCUCCACGACCAGCAUGUCAGCGAGGUGAUUUGCUUAUUUGUUUAUUUCAUCUUUUUAGAGCCGCACCCAUGGUACAUGGAAGUUCCCAGGCUAGGGGUUGAAUUGGAGCUGCAGCCACAGCCAUGCCAGAUCCGAGCCACGUCUGAGACCUACAUACACCACAGCUCACAGCAACGCCAGAACCUUAACCCACGGAGCAAGGUCAGGGAUCGAACCCACAUCCUCACGGAUACUAGUUGGGUUCAUUACCGCUGAGCCACGAUGCUGAGCCCAGCAAGACAAUUUAAAUCACUUAUAUGGAAGAGUUCUUCUGGGUCUUUGUUUUCCUUUGGCCGAUUAUCUUGUUUCAUGUCUCACACCUGACUGGACCCAGGGCCCUUUCCAAUAUGUGCACAUAUCUUUUGGCCAAGAUGGAUUUCAGGGCACAGGGUUAUGGGCUGGUAUCAGGACUUAUUAUGGCCUGGUGCCCCCUCCUUUUCUUACCCUGAGGGAUCUUUCUGUGCAUGUGUAGUUGGCAUCUCCCUGACCCCGAGGCUGGGAAGUAUGUGACCUCUUGGUCUUUUUCCCGAGCAGGGCUUAGCCCCCCUCUGCCCCUGCCAUUACCAUUACUUAGCAGGUCCACAGAAGACAAGUACCAGUUAUUUGCUUGUGCCUGUUGUUAUUUCUGUCUUGAAGUAUACAUAGGUGGCUGGUUGUCAAUGUCUAUCUGGAGCCCAGCUAUCUCCUGCCUCACACUGAUCCUGCUCUUUGCAGGUUAUAGGGGAGACGGAACCUCCAUUCACUGUCAGGUUCUUUUGCCCAGUCUUGCAUGUCAGGACCUUUGAAAUGUGACCCCCCCAUCACUGUCUAGUCCACGACACUAUCCAUACUUGGUACUCACCUGCCUAAGCCUCCAGUGGUAGCAGCCUGGUUUGCACACCCACAGGGGAAACUAAGGGUAAGUCAGACACAGUGUCCACACAAACCAGAGCAUGUUUAGAACUCUCCCUCACAGGGAAGGGGCCAGUAUCCCCAUUUGCCAAUCUCUCACCCGUUGGGGACUCUAGUCGAUCCCCCCGCUCUGCCCCCCCGCCAGUCCUUUGGCAGUUGCCUCGGACACGUUUAGAGCACACGGGACCCGCUGUUGUUACAUUAACCAAGUAACUGUAUUUCAAAGGCAAUCUGGCAUCCUUGGCAACGCACCAUCCCCCUGAGCACCAUGGUGUCCCCUCUCCCCAGGCACCCCAUGUCUACUGAGGGUCCGUUGCCGGGGCUCCUAGGGAGCUAGGGCAUCAGCUCCCUGAUGGCCAGGAGGAGGCUGUGCCUCGUGAGCCAGGGUAUGGAAACAGGAUCAGGCUCACAGGUGAACCCAAAUUCCUUUCCAUCGAUCCUGACCCCACAAGGGCUUGUUCAUGGCCAUCCAUCCCUCGGUUUACUGUUGUCCAAGCCUUAGGGUUAAUCUCUUUAUAACAGCCUGUCUGUGCAGAGGGUUAACAGCCAGGGCUUGUGCAUGGUCACCAGCCAAACCUCUCUGAGGGCAGCCCACGGGCUGCUGUGGUUCAUUUCUUCCUGAGAUGCUUGGCCUGGAGGAGCGCUGUGUCCACCGUUAGGAGCUGUUGCUCUGUGGGGAUAUUGGCUAACCACCCCCCCCAACACAUACAUACUGAGCUGGUUGCUAUGUGUAUCAGUAGUUUGUUUCUUCUCUUUACUUUUCUUUUCUUUUUUUUUAAAAGAAGAAAGCUUGUCUUUUUUUUCCCCCAGGCCUCACCUGUGGCAUAUGGAAGUUCCCAGGCUAGGGGUCGAAUCAGAGCUACAGCCGCUGGCCUACACCACAACCACAGCAACUCGGGAUCCGAGCCAUGUCUGCAACCUACACCACAGCUCAUGGCAAUGCCGGUUCCUUAACCCAUUGAGUGAGGCCAGGGAUAGAACCCACGUCCUCAUGGGUCCCAGUUGGGUUUGUAACCACUGAGCCAUGAAGGGAACUCCAGCAGUUUUUUUCUUUUACGGCUGAGUGACAGUCGUGGUGCGGAUGUCCGGGUCUAUCUGAGCGUUCACCCACUGAAGGACAUUUGGACUGUUUCCGGUUUGGGGCUAUUACUCGAAUAUUUGUGCAGUUUUUAAGACUGAUUUGAGCUUCGUCAAUAGCCCUUUCUCUCCCUAUAUAAAUAACUUGGCCUAAAAUUUCCCACCGAGAAAAAAGAUCCCCCAAAUAUCAGGAGAACCAAACUUCUCCACCCGUAAUCCAUUUAAAGAUGUCAAAUCCAAAAUCUUCGAGAAAAGUAUACAAGCUCUGGAUCUUUUCUUAUGAGUCAGAUGCUAAACUUCCAUGAGGCAACAUUUAGGGUGAAACCCGAACUGAAGACCUCCUUCCUUCUUUUUCUCUUAAAAUCGUGGCUCACAAAGGAGGUUGACAGCCAGGUGCUGGGAUAACCUUUGUUGUCUGUUGCUGUAUUUGUGGAUUGAUCGAUUGGCUGAUUAGCAGUUACUGGGAUCCUACGAAAGCCCAGGGCAAGACAGUUGGAAUAAUGGUGAGCACCAUGGAGACAGUUUCUUGUGGUGCCUGGAUGGUGAGGAAAUAUCCACACAGGUAGAUCUCAAAUGACACGACGUGGUAAGUGACCUA
This 5145-nucleotide long non-coding RNA is filed under the name Sus scrofa (pig). RNAcentral's name for it is "lncRNA (ENSSSCG00030049526.1)". The record is from RNAcentral. Lineage: Eukaryota; Metazoa; Chordata; Mammalia; Artiodactyla; Suidae.